Molecule: ribosomal RNA, 1157 nt
Filed under: Methanobacteriota archaeon
Lineage: Archaea; Methanobacteriati; Methanobacteriota
Description: bacterial LSU rRNA
Rfam family: Archaeal large subunit ribosomal RNA
Source: RNAcentral
AUCUGGGGAAUCGCUCGGCUCGAGUACCGAAGAAGGUCGUGACAAGCUGCGAUAAGCUCCGGGGAGAUGCAUGAAUAUCUUGGAUCCGGAGAUGGCUGAAUGGGACUUCCUGUUCUUUCGGAACAAUCGCAANAGCGAUAGGGAACCCCCCGAAUUGAAGCAUCUUAGUAGGGGGAGGAAUAGAAAUCAAUCGAGAUUCCGUGAGUAGUGGCGAAUGAAAACGGAUGAGGACAAACCGAAUCUCGACUGGAAACUGAGAGAGAUGUGGGUGAUUGUCUUUUACCUAAGUCAUAGAAGAAGAAGUUGUCUGGAAAGGCACAGCCAUAGAGGGUGAAAGUCCCGUAUUCGUAUAUGAUAUGGUCACGUGACAAUCAAAGAGUAGGGUGCGUUGGAUAUCGCGCUCGAAGAUGGGGGGCAGGAACCUCCAAUCCUAAAUAUAGCUCGAGACCGAUAGUUUACAAGUAACGUGAGUGAAAGCUGAAAAGAAUCCUUAGCGGGAUGUGAAAAGAACGUGAAACCAGAUAGGUACAGGCUGAUAGGGCGUUAAAGCGAAGAUAUGAGCAGCGUCCUAUCGUGCGUUUCGAAAAAUGCCCCAGGGAGUCUUGAUCAUUGGCGAGGUUAAGGAGUUGAUCUCCGAAGCCGAAGGGAAACCGACAUGUCCGCAGCAGUUUACUGUGAGGGACGAAGUGUGCUCGCUUGGAGUCAAUGGUGGAGGACCUGAAGCCACCCGAUCUAUGCCUGACCAGAUUGAAGCCCGGUGAAAACUGGGUGGAGGAUCGAACCGUUGCUGAUCUGCAAAUCGCUCGGACGAGUUGGGUAUAGGGGUGAAAGUCCAAUCGAGGGUGGCAAUAGCAGGUUCCGCGUGAAACUACUCGUAGGUAGACGUCUGCUGAGAUUGAUUACGCUGUAGAGCACUGAUUGUGUAUUUAGGGGAAGCGAUUCCUCGGUAUGCUGCCAAACUCCGAAGGUGUAAUCGUCGUAGACGCAGGCAGUGAGUGAUGGUGGGUAAGCUACCAUUACGUAAGGUGAACAUACCAGCCUGAAGUUAAGGUCCCUAAAUGCCGAUUAAGUGUCACAGACAAACCGUGUCCGUGGUCGAAAACAACCAGAAGGUGGGCUUAGAAGCAGCCAUCCUUGAAAGAGUUCGUAACAGAUCA